This 425-nucleotide ribosomal RNA is filed under the name uncultured bacterium. Its description in RNAcentral is "partial 16S ribosomal RNA". It matches the Rfam family "Bacterial small subunit ribosomal RNA", at positions 354 to 796 of the family's 1533-position model. The record is from RNAcentral.
GUGGGGAAUCUUGCGCAAUGGGCGAAAGCCUGACGCAGCCAUGCCGCGUGAAUGAUGAAGGUCUUAGGAUUGUAAAAUUCUUUCACCGGGGACGAUAAUGACGGUACCCGGAGAAGAAGCCCCGGCUAACUUCGUGCCAGCAGCCGCGGUAAUACGAAGGGGGCUAGCGUUGCUCGGAAUUACUGGGCGUAAAGGGCGCGUAGGCGGACAGUUUAGUCAGAGGUGAAAGCCCAGGGCUCAACCUUGGAAUUGCCUUUGAUACUGGCUGUCUUGAGUACGGGAGAGGUGAGUGGAACUCCGAAUGUAGAGGUGAAAUUCGUAGAUAUUCGGAAGAACACCAGUGGCGAAGGCGACUCACUGGCCCGUUACUGACGCUGAGGCGCGAAAGCGUGGGGAGCAAACAGGAUUAGAAACCCUGGUAGUCC